UCCCUCCAGCCCUGUGUAUGCUGUGAGUGAUGAAAUGCAACCCAUUAAACCCUUUGUGGAGGGUUUAAUUUGCACAUCCCCUGGCUGUGAUUAUUAUGUCUUGUUAUUUUUGUGAUUAUUACUCUCUAGGGGGAACCCCCAUCUCUAGAGACUUUGAGAAGGCUCAUCCAGGAGGAGUUAGCCAAACAGCUAGAUGCAAAGUUAACCUAUCUCCUGGCUCAGAUACAGCCUGCACAUGUAAAAGCAUCCCAUGGCAGACCAGGACCUCCUGGUCCCCCUGGGAAGGAAGGACUCCCAGGAAGAACUGGCCCUCCAGGAGAGCCUGGCCGGCCUGGACAGACUGGGUCUGAAGGGCCACCUGGACCGAUUGGUCCCAAAGGAGAAAGAGGAGCAAAGGGUGACAAAGGAGACACUGGUGUUGGCCAACGAGGGGAAAUAGGUCCUCCAGGAAUUCCAGGCCUCCCAGGGGAGCCUGGCUAUGCCAAAGACGGGAUGCCAGGACCACCCGGCCCUCAAGGCGAAGCUGGUAUGCCUGGUCUCAUGGGUCCACAGGGACCUCCGGGAGCCAACGGACAGU
Long non-coding RNA from Fulmarus glacialis (Northern fulmar), 577 nucleotides. RefSeq lists it as uncharacterized. The transcript has 4 exons. Lineage: Eukaryota; Metazoa; Chordata; Aves; Procellariiformes; Procellariidae. The record is from RefSeq and is a predicted model, not a curated record.